ACCAUCCCUUGAUUCGCAACGACGAUACUUCAACACAACAACUUCCAGUUAUCGACAUGCACAGGUUGCUCUCUGGAGAUGACUCAGAGCUUGAGAAGCUUGACAAUACAUGUAAAGAGUGGGGUUUCUUUCAGGUACACAAUAAUUGAGCUGUGAUAUUCAGAUAAUAAAAAUACUCACUCGAGUGCAAAUAAAGAAAACCGACACUAGGUUAUCAUUGUUUUUGUGAGCGUUUUAUCAGCUCUCAGUUUCUUUAGCAUUUUCCAUUAAAAUCUUUUGUUUCCUGAGCUUUAUAUUUGCUAUAUGAACGAUGUAUGGAAAGAACAUCUUGCUUUAAUUUGCAUAUAUGCAGUUGAUUAAUCAUGGAGUUAGCAGUUCAUUGGUGGAGAAAGUGAAAGCAGAGAUUCAAGACUUCUUUAAUCUUCCAAUUGAUGAGAAAAAGAAGUUUUGGCAACAACCAGGAGAUAGUGAGGGAUUUGGGCAGCACUUUAUUGCGUCUGAAGAGCAGAAGCUUGAUUGGGGAUACGGCUUUACUAUGGUCACUCUCCCAACUCAUCUGAGGAAACCCCACUUGUUCCCUAAGUUGCCUCUUCCAUUCAGGUUCUAAAUUCAAAGCGUAGAGUUUUGCUAUAUAGUAUGUUCAAUCUUAUGAUAAUUACUGCACUAUAUAUUGUUAUUUCCAUGCAGAGAUGACUUGGAAGUUUACUCAACAGAAAUUAAAAAUCUUACCCUGAAAAUCCUUGACCAAAUGGCUAAAGCUCUAAGAAUGGAUCCCAAUGAUAUGGAAGAGUUGUUUGAAAACGGGAUGCAAGCAUUCAGGAUGAAUUAUUAUCCUCCUUGUCUGCAACCAGAAAAAGUUGUCGGCCAUAAUUCUCAUUGUGAUGCCGCCGCACUCACCGUCCUCCUCCAAAUCAAUGAGAUGGAUGGUCUCCAAAUUAAGAAAGAUGGAAAAUGGGUUGCUGUUAAACCCCUUCGAGCUUUAUAUUUGCUAUAUGAACGAUGUAUGGAAAGAACAUCUUGCUUUAAUUUGCAUAUAUGCAGUUGAUUAAUCAUGGAGUUAGCAGUUCAUUGGUGGAGAAAGUGAAAGCAGAGAUUCAAGACUUCUUUAAUCUUCCAAUUGAUGAGAAAAAGAAGUUUUGGCAACAACCAGGAGAUAUUGAGGGAUUUGGGCAGCACUUUAUUGCGUCUGAAGAGCAGAAGCUUGAUUGGGGAUACGGCUUUACUAUGGUCACUCUCCCAACUCAUCUGAGGAAACCCCACUUGUUCCCUAAGUUGCCUCUUCCAUUCAGGUUCUAAAUUCAAAGCGUAGAGUUUUGCUAUAUAGUAUGUUCAAUCUUAUGAUAAUUACUGCACUAUAUAUUGUUAUUUCCAUGCAGAGAUGACUUGGAAGUUUACUCAACAGAAAUUAAAAAUCUUACCCUGAAAAUCCUUGACCAAAUGGCUAAAGCUCUAAGAAUGGAUCCCAAUGAUAUGGAAGAGUUGUUUGAAAACGGGAUGCAAGCAUUCAGGAUGAAUUAUUAUCCUCCUUGUCUGCAACCAGAAAAAGUUGUCGGCCAUAAUUCUCAUUGUGAUGCCUCCGCACUCACCGUCCUCCUCCAAAUCAAUGAGAUGGAUGGUCUCCAAAUUAAGAAAGAUGGAAAAUGGGUUGCUGUUAAACCCCU
RNAcentral lists this long non-coding RNA (1661 nucleotides) under Citrus sinensis (sweet orange). RNAcentral's name for it is "long non-coding RNA (CSIN_LNC001289)". Lineage: Eukaryota; Viridiplantae; Streptophyta; Magnoliopsida; Sapindales; Rutaceae. The record is from RNAcentral.